RNAcentral lists this ribosomal RNA (378 nucleotides) under uncultured Glomeromycotina. Its description in RNAcentral is "LSU rRNA". Lineage: Eukaryota; Fungi; Glomeromycota. The record is from RNAcentral.
UUGAAAGGGAAACGAUUGAAGUCAGUCGUACCUAUGGGUAAUCAGCCUUUCGGGUGCGAUUCUGUGAGGUGUGAGGAGUUAAACGCCUUCAUGUUUUGCAUAUUCGUGCUCUUGGGUGUACUUGCCCGUGUGGUUGGUUAACAUCAAUUUUGGACGCCAUAAAAUGACUGGAGGAAUGUAGCUUCGAUCUCGUAUUGAAGUGUUAUAGCCUUCGGUAGAUGUGGUUUUCGAGAUUGAGGAUUGCAACGGAUACCCUUCGGGGCUACCUAUCUGAUCUCUGAUUGUUGCUCUGGUGCCGAAAGCUUGCUUACGGUUAUCAAAGUCGAUGCGAUGGUCAAUAGGUUAGAAUAGGUUAAAUUCGUUAAGGAUGUUGACGUA